GUGUUCCAGGACCGUGGGGAUGUGGCACUGAGGGGUGCGGGCAGCGGGCAGCUGCGGGGGUGGACGGUGGCACUUGGUGAUCUUAGAGGUCUUUGCCAACCAGAGAGAUUCUGUCAUUCUGUGAAUGGAGCCAUUUAUUGCAACGAGAGGUAAUCAGCAGCAAACAACCAAAGAGGAACGCCUCGAGAACAUCACGGGAACACGGAAACACUUGACUGGGAUACUGAUGGAGCCACAGGCCCGGCAGCAUUCAGGUGUGGCCAGGAGGCUGGAUGUGUGGCCCAGUGCCUUCAGCAGCACCAACACGCCGGGUUCCUGCGGGGCUGCGUCCGG
RNAcentral lists this long non-coding RNA (333 nucleotides) under Gallus gallus (chicken). Its description in RNAcentral is "lncRNA (ENSGALG00010028260.1)". Lineage: Eukaryota; Metazoa; Chordata; Aves; Galliformes; Phasianidae. The record is from RNAcentral.